AUGCAAGUCGAGCGGGGGAAGGUAGCUUGCUACUGGACCUAGCGGCGGACGGGUGAGUAAUGCUUAGGAAUCUGCCUAUUAGUGGGGGACAACAUCUCGAAAGGGAUGCUAAUACCGCAUACGUCCUACGGGAGAAAGCAGGGGAUCUUCGGACCUUGCGCUAAUAGAUGAGCCUAAGUCGGAUUAGCUAGUUGGUGGGGUAAAGGCCUACCAAGGCGACGAUCUGUAGCGGGUCUGAGAGGAUGAUCCGCCACACUGGGACUGAGACACGGCCCAGACUCCUACGGGAGGCAGCAGUGGGGAAUAUUGGACAAUGGGGGGAACCCUGAUCCAGCCAUGCCGCGUGUGUGAAGAAGGCCUUAUGGUUGUAAAGCACUUUAAGCGAGGAGGAGGCUACUUUAGUUAAUACCUAGAGAUAGUGGACGUUACUCGCAGAAUAAGCACCGGCUAACUCUGUGCCAGCAGCCGCGGUAAUACAGAGGGUGCGAGCGCUAAUCGGAUUUACUGGGCGUAAAGCGUGCGUAGGCGGCUUAUUAAGUCGGAUGUGAAAUCCCCGAGCUUAACUUGGGAAUUGCAUUCGAUACUGGUGAGCUAGAGUAUGGGAGAGGAUGGUAGAAUUCCAGGUGUAGCGGUGAAAUGCGUAGAGAUCU
Molecule: ribosomal RNA, 650 nt
Filed under: Acinetobacter baumannii OIFC032
Lineage: Bacteria; Pseudomonadati; Pseudomonadota; Gammaproteobacteria; Moraxellales; Moraxellaceae
Description: bacterial SSU rRNA
Rfam family: Bacterial small subunit ribosomal RNA
Source: RNAcentral